ACGGGUGAGUAACACGUGGAUAACCUACCUAUAAGACUGGGAUAACUUCGGGAAACCGGAGCUAAUACCGGAUAAUAUUUUGAACCGCAUGGUUCAAAAGUGAAAGACGGUCUUGCUGUCACUUAUAGAUGGAUCCGCGCUGCAUUAGCUAGUUGGUAAGGUAACGGCUUACCAAGGCAACGAUGCAUAGCCGACCUGAGAGGGUGAUCGGCCACACUGGAACUGAGACACGGUCCAGACUCCUACGGGAGGCAGCAGUAGGGAAUCUUCCGCAAUGGGCGAAAGCCUGACGGAGCAACGCCGCGUGAGUGAUGAAGGUCUUCGGAUCGUAAAACUCUGUUAUUAGGGAAGAACAUAUGUGUAAGUAACUGUGCACAUCUUGACGGUACCUAAUCAGAAAGCCACGGCUAACUACGUGCCAGCAGCCGCGGUAAUACGUAGGUGGCAAGCGUUAUCCGGAAUUAUUGGGCGUAAAGCGCGCGUAGGCGGUUUUUUAAGUCUGAUGUGAAAGCCCACGGCUCAACCGUGGAGGGUCAUUGGAAACUGGAAAACUUGAGUGCAGAAGAGGAAAGUGGAAUUCCAUGUGUAGCGGUGAAAUGCGCAGAGAUAUGGAGGAACACCAGUGGCGAAGGCGACUUUCUGGUCUGUAACUGACGCUGAUGUGCGAAAGCGUGGGGAUCAAACAGGAUUAGAUACCCUGGUAGUCCACGCCGUAAACGAUGAGUGCUAAGUGUUAGGGGGUUUCCGCCCCUUAGUGCUGCAGCUAACGCAUUAAGCACUCCGCCUGGGGAGUACGACCGCAAGGUUGAAACUCAAAGGAAUUGACGGGGACCCGCACAAGCGGUGGAGCAUGUGGUUUAAUUCGAAGCAACGCGAAGAACCUUACCAAAUCUUGACAUCCUUUGA
RNAcentral lists this ribosomal RNA (906 nucleotides) under Staphylococcus aureus. Its description in RNAcentral is "bacterial SSU rRNA". It matches the Rfam family "Bacterial small subunit ribosomal RNA", at positions 102 to 994 of the family's 1533-position model. The record is from RNAcentral. Lineage: Bacteria; Bacillati; Bacillota; Bacilli; Caryophanales; Staphylococcaceae.